UAGGGUCCGCCCACAGAUGUUGUCUGGCCCUGGAGCUGUGUUCUUUUUAGUCCUUUUGAGGGCUCUCACCACCUCUGAUGUGUUGAUGUUGAGGCCGGAGUCAUCAGGUCUGAGUGUGGAGACGAUUGAUUCUAGCUGGGUGCUGUUGUCCUUUUCAAAUCUGGUGUAGAAGGAGUUGAGAUCAUUCGGGAGUGAAGUGAAGCUGCUUCCUGCUACCUGAAUGGGCUUGCGGCUGGUAGAGACAGAGUUCACUGCUGCCAUGUUCUUGAGGCCCUGCCAAGCCGCACGGAGGUUCCCUUUUCCAAAGGUCUGCUCCACUUUGUUCUUGUAUUUCAGCUUGGCAAUUUUUAUGGCCCGCUUGACCUCUCUGUUUACUUCCUUCUUCUCAGCUUCAGAACCGGUAAAAAAUGUUCUCUUUUUCUUAUUCAAUAUGUUUUUUAGAUCUUUAGUCACCCAGGGUUUAUUGUUAGGGAAGAUUGUGACCUUCUUGGAGGGGAUAAUAUUGUCUACACAGAAAGUGAUGUAUGCUGAGACUGUAUCCGCUUGCUCACUGAUGUUGGUGGAGGAGGAUGUGAGGGUAUUCCAGUCUGUGGUUUCAAAACACCCUUGAAGCCUGUCAAUACUGUCCGGUGUCCACUUGUAAGUACAGUUUA
Molecule: long non-coding RNA, 653 nt
Organism: Amblyraja radiata (thorny skate)
Lineage: Eukaryota; Metazoa; Chordata; Chondrichthyes; Rajiformes; Rajidae
Exons: 3
Source: RefSeq, a predicted model, not a curated record